RNAcentral lists this ribosomal RNA (186 nucleotides) under Triticum aestivum (bread wheat). Its description in RNAcentral is "rRNA SSU_rRNA_eukarya". It matches the Rfam family "Bacterial small subunit ribosomal RNA", at positions 1167 to 1374 of the family's 1533-position model. Lineage: Eukaryota; Viridiplantae; Streptophyta; Magnoliopsida; Poales; Poaceae. The record is from RNAcentral.
ACAAAAGGUAGGACCAGAUCAUGUGAACAAUGGUCUGGUGGUUUCAUUCGAACAAUGGGAAGCAAGGCUGUAAGGCGGAGCGAAUCCAGAAAGAUUGCCUCAGUUCGGAUUGUUCUCUGCAACUCGGGAACAAGAAGUUGAAAUCGCUAGUAAUCGCGGAUCAGCAUGCCACGGUGAAUAUGUACC